Molecule: ribosomal RNA, 241 nt
Filed under: uncultured bacterium
Lineage: Bacteria
Description: partial 16S ribosomal RNA
Rfam family: Bacterial small subunit ribosomal RNA
Source: RNAcentral
CCGGGCGCACGGGUGAGUAACGCGUAUGCAACUUGCCUAUCAGAGGGGGAUAACCCGGCGAAAGUCGGACUAAUACCGCAUGAAGCAGGGGCCCCGCAUGGGGAUAUUUGCUAAAGAUUCAUCGCUGAUAGAUAGGCAUGCGUUCCAUUAGGCAGUUGGCGGGGUAACGGCCCACCAAACCGACGAUGGAUAGGGGUUCUGAGAGGAAGGUCCCCCACAUUGGUACUGAGACACGGACCAA